GUGAAGGGGGCGAGCCUGAUCCAGCAAUGCCGCGUGUGUGAAGAAGGCCUGCGGGUUGUAAAGCACUUUUAGUGGGGAAGAAAAGUUUUGAGUUAAUACCUCAAAAUCUUGACGUUACUCACAGAAAAAGCACCGGCUAACUCUGUGCCAGCAGCCGCGGUAAUACAGAGGGUGCGAGCGUUAAUCGGAAUUACUGGGCGUAAAGCGUGCGUAGGCGGUUGGAUAAGUCGGAUGUGAAAGCCCUUGGCUCAACCAAGGAAUUGCAUUCGAUACUAUUCGGCUAGAGUAUGGUAGAGGGAAGCGGAAUUCUUAGUGUAGCGGUGAAAUGCGUAGAUAUUAGGAAGAACAUCAGUGGCGAAGGCGGCUUCCUGGACUGAUACUGACGCUGAGGUACGAAAGCGUGGGGAGCAAACAGGAUUAGAUACCCUGGUAGUCCACGCCCUAAACGAUGAGAACUAGAUGUUAGAAGGUAAUUACCUUUUGGUGUCGUAGCUAACGCGAUAAGUUCUCCGCCUGGGGAGUACGGCCGCAAGGUUAAAACUCAUA
This 546-nucleotide ribosomal RNA is filed under the name Beggiatoa sp. enrichment culture DGGE band CSO3. Its description in RNAcentral is "bacterial SSU rRNA". It matches the Rfam family "Bacterial small subunit ribosomal RNA", at positions 368 to 905 of the family's 1533-position model. Lineage: Bacteria; Pseudomonadati; Pseudomonadota; Gammaproteobacteria; Thiotrichales; Thiotrichaceae. The record is from RNAcentral.